This 93-nucleotide non-coding RNA is filed under the name Streptomyces sparsogenes. RNAcentral describes it as "ZTP sequence". It matches the Rfam family "ZMP/ZTP riboswitch aptamer (pfl RNA motif)". From Rfam's summary of the family: Previously known as pfl RNA. ZMP is also known as AICAR. RNAcentral also lists the same sequence under 1 other name. Lineage: Bacteria; Bacillati; Actinomycetota; Actinomycetes; Kitasatosporales; Streptomycetaceae. The record is from RNAcentral.
AGCGCGCGCCGUGACUGGCGAACGUGGAAGCGACCACGAGGAAGCGGCGCGCGGUGCAGUCAUCACGAGGUGCCGCCCGCCUGGGCACCCCGG